CCGCCUGGGGAGUACGGCCGCAAGGUUAAAACUCAAAUGAAUUGACGGGGGCCCGCACAAGCGGUGGAGCAUGUGGUUUAAUUCGAUGCAACGCGAAGAACCUUACCUGGUCUUGACAUCCACAGAAUUCUGCAGAGAUGCGGAAGUGCCUUCGGGAACUGUGAGACAGGUGCUGCAUGGCUGUCGUCAGCUCGUGUUGUGAAAUGUUGGGUUAAGUCCCGCAACGAGCGCAACCCUUAUCCUUUGUUGCCAGCGAUUAGGUCGGGAACUCA
This 272-nucleotide ribosomal RNA is filed under the name Salmonella enterica subsp. enterica serovar Apeyeme. Its description in RNAcentral is "partial 16S ribosomal RNA". It matches the Rfam family "Bacterial small subunit ribosomal RNA", at positions 869 to 1141 of the family's 1533-position model. The record is from RNAcentral. Lineage: Bacteria; Pseudomonadati; Pseudomonadota; Gammaproteobacteria; Enterobacterales; Enterobacteriaceae.